Molecule: long non-coding RNA, 442 nt
Filed under: Lathyrus oleraceus (garden pea)
Lineage: Eukaryota; Viridiplantae; Streptophyta; Magnoliopsida; Fabales; Fabaceae
Description: Pisum sativum (pea) long non-coding RNA (PSAT_LNC019822)
Source: RNAcentral
AAUUUUUUUCACAAACUGUUCUGAUUUGAUAAAUUUCAGAUUUUUUUAGAUUAUUGAGUCUUUUCUUGAUUUUUGAGGAUUUUGAUUCGUUGAUUAUUUUGUUUAUUGUUUGUUUUUUUACUAUUUUUAAUAUUUUUGUUGUUGUCUUUUUUCCUUUUUUCUUUGACUUUUUAUAAACCUUUUUAGCAUUUUUUCUUUUUCUCAAUCAUGUAUAUGUAUAUGUGUUCUAUGUUUGUGGUCAAAGGAUCUGCCUCAAACCCUUAUGUUUGAUUCUUGAGUGCUAUUGUAUUGUUUUACUCAAAUCCUUGUGGAAUGUCUUAUAUCUUGUAUAAUGCAAAUUCAUAAUAAAUAUGUAGGUUUCUCUUUUGAGCAUUUUUGUGUUGUUGAUGCAUUAUUAAUGUAUGAUGCACCAUGAUUACGCCUUGUAGUGAAAUUAUAAUAA